AUCUUUUUAUACAUUUAUUUUCCUGGCUAAUCAUGGCAGCGUCACUUAGGAAAAAGACCAAUGUAAAGAGAGACUAAGUGUAUAAGAGGUCUCUCCUCCCUUCAGACAACAAUCUUUUUUCCCGUACUCACCCAGACAGACAGAAACUUUUCCUAAUUAUUUUUUUUUUUUUGGCAACCUUCCCAUGUGUACCUCUCUGAGUCUGUUCACAUACUUGUUCCAUCUGCACUGUGAAUGUUUACAUGGUGUGUUCAAUAAAAACAUGGCAACAUUUCAUUCUUUGUGUGUUAUUAGUUUAAGCAGACUGUGAUUGUCUAUUGUUGUGACUUAGAUGAUGAUCAGAUCACAUUUUAUGACCAAUUUGUGCAGAAAUCCAUAUCAUUCCAAAGGGUUCACAUACUUUUUCUUGAAACUGUCUAUGGCCUCCUUUCUCUAGUACUAAUUUCCCCUUUUCACAUAUUAUUGUAUCCCGUUUGUGCCAUUUCUUCUCCCCCCCUCGCUGAUUCUGCUACUCUGAAUGAUUACCUUAUCUGUCUGAGAUUCAUCAACUUUCGUGGCUCUUUCACUGUCUGUGGUAUAAAAUCCUAUAUUUAAUUUGUAACCGUGCGAUUCAAUGCUUAAGUCAAAUGGCGGCCCUUCAAGUGCUGCACUCAGUGAAUAUGCCGCCUCUUAAUACCCCCUGCAGGAAACAUGGCGUGAAUCGCUCUGCGUUCUACUGAUCGUUCGACACAUGCAUGGCUCUUCCAAAG
Pelobates cultripes (western spadefoot toad) is the source of this 749-nucleotide non-coding RNA. Lineage: Eukaryota; Metazoa; Chordata; Amphibia; Anura; Pelobatidae. The record is from the annotation of a GenBank genome assembly.